Molecule: non-coding RNA, 2076 nt
Organism: Anas platyrhynchos (mallard)
Lineage: Eukaryota; Metazoa; Chordata; Aves; Anseriformes; Anatidae
Source: RefSeq, a predicted model, not a curated record
AGCACCUGGGCAGUCUGAAAGCCAAACCCACCUAGUUGUUAUAGGCCCUUUUUGCUGAGUUCUACGUGAAACAUAGAAGUUAAGGGGAAGAAAUGUUAAAGAUGCAUGAGGAAAAGCUAUCAGAAAUUCAAUGUGAAGUAGGAUGGUUUCAGUUUGCCGAGAGCUAGUCCCUAACUGAAUUUUCAGAGGCUUGUAAUGUGAGUACCCAGAUUUUACAUUACUGUAUGGAAAGGAUAGAGCUUGGCAUUUUCACUAGUACCUAAGCUGAUUCCAGAAAUUGCCUGAUUCCAGGAUUUUGCAUCACAUCAGAAAAUAUUCUACGUGGAACAUAAUGUUAAGAGAUGCUGCUUUGUAGUCUUCAACUUCCUUAUGGUGGAAGAAGAAGGUUACCAUGAAUUAUUUGAGACGUGGCAACACUGAUGGUUUACAAAUACUUCCUUUUUCCUACUUGAGAGGAGAAAAGGGAAUGCAGGAUGCCCUGAAUCAUCUAGUCCUAUCCACCCUACAGACCAGCACAUAUCAAGACAUCUCCACAUACACAGGAGAAGAACAGAAGUUACGUGCAAUUUCACAAAGUAAAAACUGCUCACGAUCUGGAGAGGCAUGGAAGAUAAGUCUCGUUCUGUCACUCAAAUCACAGGGCUGAAAACCAGGGCUGUUCCCCAUACCGACCUUCACUGGGAUAUCAAUAUACAUAACAGAUGGCCACUACCAGCAUGUGCUGUAUAAUUCUGACACUUCACAAUAAGUGCAGGUGCCAAGUGCCAACCCUCUGUGCUAGUUCUAGGCAGAUUUGGCCUCUGGGAAUGAUCCUGAUUUUCUCCAGUCAGAAGAGUCAGCACCAGUAGUUUCAGCUGAGUUAUCACCAGAGACUUGGUGUGAAACCAUCCUCCUCCUUUGUUCAUUAGGGGAGUUUCAUCUGAGCAGUAAAAUGUCAUCAUUCUCCCAAAGUAAACUGAGCUCUUUACUCUUGCAACUUCAGACACUGGAGCUCUUUGACACAAUUGUCCAAAAGGUUUGGGUGAAUUUUACCUGAUAUUUUUAUAUUUUACACAGAUGUCCUAAUAGAAAAGGUGACAAUUGUAUGGAGUAUUUCAAUAUAUUAAUUUUGCAGCACAUUCAGUAUGACCACAAGUUAUCUUUUCAAAUCAUAUUGACCAAGUGUUUUUGCAACAGGCAAGAUAAUCACAUCAGAAUUAAGAAUGAAAUUGUAAUGAUGAGAAGUAUAAAAAGAAUCAAAAUUUCAUUUUGAUGCAUUUCUAUUUUAUCACAGUGGCCUUUUUUCCCCUACUGAUUUCAAUUUUUUAUUAUCAUCUUGUAAAAUUUGUAAAUGAUAAUCAUUUAGGUUACAUAACGUUACUCGUUUUAGAAAUUCCAAAGCACAAAAACUUAGCCAUAGUUCAGAGUUCUGUUUUUGAAACAUGGUGAGAUCCAAAAUUAACUGUAAUUCCACCAUGCUUAAUCACUCAAUUAUUAUCAAGUAUUAUCAGUCACUCAAUUAUAUUAUUAUUAGGUAAACAGUAAACAGCUACAUUUGAUAAAUAUCUUGAUAACAGUUUGGUUGAGAUAUUAUGGGAAAAACUUUUUCUCUUUGAAAUAGCAGCUGUCCAACAGUUAUGUUUUCCAAUACUCUCUUCAUCCUAAAUUGUAUUUAAAGUGCAUUCAAAUAUUUAAGCCAGCUCUAGUCCAGUGGUACAUGACUUACAUGCAUACAAUUUUGUAGAAUUAAGAAUUCAUGAAUUAUGCAUACAAAAUGUGCCUUUCUCCCCCCCCCCAAAAAAACAAACAAACAAACAAACAAACAAAAGCAUAUAAAAUUUGAUCACCUAAACAAAAUGAAUAGUAAGUGUUUGACACAGCCCCUGAAAUAAAUGGUGGUGGAUGCUCCCAUAUAUCUAUCACCUUGGGUACAUGCUCCAAACAAAGCCUUAACUGUCCUCUUCAUUUUCUUUCCACUACAGCUGAUUCCUUGUACACAGAAUUGAAUCCUUCUAUAAAAUAACCUGAAAUGUCAUAUCUUAUGUGAUACAGAUCUGUGCCCCAAAAUGACAAAUAAAUUAUUUUUUCCAAACUCCA